This is a long non-coding RNA of Glycine soja, 2023 nucleotides long. RefSeq lists it as uncharacterized. The transcript has 5 exons. NCBI's taxonomy places the organism in Eukaryota, Viridiplantae, Streptophyta, Magnoliopsida, Fabales, Fabaceae. The record is from RefSeq and is a predicted model, not a curated record.
UACAUGGGUAUGGGUAUACAGGUAACUAGUCGAUAUAGGUCCGGUCAUAGCUCUACCAUCUUCAGAAUCGCUCCGGUCAACUCUACUUCGAUCCCAUUCCCUCAAAGGACGAACCCUAUGCGGAACUUCUUGGCUUUCGCUGAACCAAUUGCAAGAAAGCGAAGGGCAAUGACAACAACCUUCCUCGUGGCCUGACCAAGGAUCUUCGUGCCAAGUGAGUCUAUUCGCCUCCAUAAUCCACUAACUCCGGUUUGAUCAAAAGCACAUUUCCCAAGUGUAUUGUUAAUUUCUCUCAGGGUAACGUGCCUUUGAUCUCUCAGUCUAGGGUGCACCAGUUGCAUAUGUUUAUAGGUGAAGAGAAUUCUGAUACUUUAUUAGAGGCUCUCUUGAGAUAUUCUAUAUGAUAUCACCUCGAAUAAUGAGAUUCUUGCGGAGGACAAGCACAAGCCUAUUUAAGAUACUUUCGCUCAUUGUUUACUUUUCCGUUUUGCUGAUACUCAACGAUGUCAUUUUGUAUAGUUGAGAUUGAUUUGUAGAAUUUAUGAAGGUUUGUUGUUUAUCAUUGGAUCAUCGAGUUUUAUUUCGCUUCAAGCACUACGGUUUUAAUUCUUUUACACUGGUUUUUUUACUAUGUUCUUCACUUCUUCAGGAAAUGUAUUGAGUUUCAUAAACUUGCAAGUUUUGAUGUGCUUUUUUUGGUCUUCAUGGGUUUAUUUUUGGGACAAAACUUGGAUACAAUUAUAUAGUUUCUUAGGUGCUUUUUGGUAUUUAGAAUUGGAGUUUUAACUUGGUAAUAUGCAUAAUAAAGGUCUGCAUUAAAGAUUUACGCUCAUUAUUGAGGUGAAACUCCAACUCUAAUUAAAGAAUUGCACCAAAAAGUACAUAUGUAAUUGUAUCUAACUUUUCUCCUUAUUUUUAUUCUCACUUAAUUGCUUUUAUGCUCUACACCAGCCCUACUAACUAUACAUUAAUUGUUGAAGAAAUUCUUAGGUUCUAGGUAUUUCUUUCACUAGAUACCUAGUGUCAGCAUGUAUAUUUUUGGAUGCUUGUAAAGUAACAACUCAUUGCAAUAAUGAAAGGGAUAUUCGGUCUCCUAUUUUGAUAAGAUUUUAGAUCUUUCUUAUUCGUUCUUUAAUUAUGUGAUCAGCACAAUUGUUUCAGGUAUCAAGAAUUGGCUAAAAAUUAUAAUGUGGAGAACAUUGUUGGAGGUAUUGCAUUAGAUCCGGAGUAUUGGAUUUUAUAUAAUUGCUUUAAUAUUUAAAUAUCAUAAGCAAACUUUAUAAAAUGAACAGUGGAAGUGCAUAUUUCAUAAUGACAGCUUCUACAAUUUUUUUUUUGUUUGUGUGCUGGAAGGUGCCACUCAUAAUUCAAUCAAGGUUGCUCAAUGGAUGCUCCAAGUUCCUGGUGCAACAAGUUACAUGGGUGGCAUAGGAAAGGAUAAGUUUGGGGAAGAGAUGAAGAAGAACUCAAAGCUUGCUGGUGUAAAUUUCACUAUUAUGAAGAUGAAACUACACCUACUGGAACUUGUGUUGUAUAGUUGGUGGUGAAAGGUGGGAACAAAAUCUCGAUGCAUCUUAUUUACCACAAAUGGUUUUUGGGGAAAGCACUUUAAUUCUAAAACACUCGAGCAGUUGCACCAACAUUCAUUUUAAUGCAUUUGAUGCUCUACGUGGCUGGAAAUAGGAAGCAUUGCCGCUAGUUGAAGUUCCUGCAGCAGCAACUAAAUGGAAAUUUAGAAGGUGAUAACUAUUGGCAUGUGCACUUUCAUGUUUACGUAUAACUCAAAAUCCUGUUAGUUUUGCUUAGAUUCAUUUGCUGUCUUUUCUUUCUAGGAAGAAAUUUUUACUUGGUGGUUAGUGAAAUCCCAUAAUGCAUCUGAAUGUAGAUAAGAUAACUAGCAUUUAGAUUUGAGGGGGCAAUUUAAUUAAAAUAAUAAUAAUUAUUAUUAUUAUUUGAGACUCUGUAUCAUGUAAAUACAAAUUAUUUUGUUUGAUUCCAAGCAUAUUAGUGCUCUCCUGAUUAA